GGUUCUGUGGUGUAGUGGUUAUCACAUCUGCUUUACACGCAGAAUGUCCCCGGUUCGAUCCCGGGUGGAACCA
Non-coding RNA from Stegodyphus mimosarum, 73 nucleotides. NCBI's taxonomy places the organism in Eukaryota, Metazoa, Arthropoda, Arachnida, Araneae, Eresidae. The record is from Rfam.